Ostrinia furnacalis (Asian corn borer) is the source of this 194-nucleotide long non-coding RNA. RefSeq lists it as uncharacterized. The transcript is spliced from 3 exons. Lineage: Eukaryota; Metazoa; Arthropoda; Insecta; Lepidoptera; Crambidae. The record is from RefSeq and is a predicted model, not a curated record.
GUCAUACUUAGUGCAGUCUAAAAUCUAAAUUCCAAAUUAUUUAGAUCCUCAGUUUAAUACAAUUACUUUCAGAUAAUGUCAUUGCCCCACAGCGAGGACUGGCAGGGCUGCUACCGGCCCGAUCUUUGCUACUCGCUGCUGCGCCUGCUCAAAAUGACUCACAUCCCCCUACCCCACAACUGAUGCAAUGGAGG